GUGGAUUAGAUACCCCGGUAGUCCAUGCCGUAAACGUUGGGAACUAGGUGUGGGUCUCAUUCCACGAGAUCCGUGCCGCAGCUAACGCAUUAAGUUCCCCGCCUGGGGAGUACGGCCGCAAGGCUAAAACUCAAAGGAAUUGACGGGGGCCCGCACAAGCGGCGGAGCAUGCGGAUUAAUUCGAUGCAACGCGAAGAACCUUACCAAGGCUUGACAUAUGCGAGAACGCGGCAGAGAUGUCGUUCUCUUUGGACACUCGCAUACAGGUGGUGCACGGUUGUCGACAACU
Molecule: ribosomal RNA, 289 nt
Filed under: uncultured bacterium
Lineage: Bacteria
Description: partial 16S ribosomal RNA
Rfam family: Bacterial small subunit ribosomal RNA
Source: RNAcentral